Wyeomyia smithii (pitcher-plant mosquito) is the source of this 739-nucleotide long non-coding RNA. RefSeq lists it as uncharacterized. The transcript is spliced from 3 exons. Lineage: Eukaryota; Metazoa; Arthropoda; Insecta; Diptera; Culicidae. The record is from RefSeq and is a predicted model, not a curated record.
UUGAUAGCCAUUCUCCGCACCCUAUUAGUAUUAAUGUGGUUUUUAAUGCAAAUAUGCUUCACGCCUGCCGCGUGGACUACAUGGUUAGUGUCCGUCCGAGGAUAAUGAGCAGAUCUAACGGCAAAUUUCCCUUGUCCCCGCUGCAAUAUGUGACCAGGUCGACUGAGAGCAAAUUGUCUCGCCCAGCCCACAAAGUUUUCCAGUUGAAUUUCGAAGAAAUCUCUCCUCCGUAUUUCAAACGGUAACAUGUACCACAGUAUAUUUCCUCCAUCGCAGCACAACUGAGACUUACUGAGCGAUUCUCUGGGAAAAUAACCAUGCGUCUCCACAGUAACUAGUUUUGUUCGCUGAUUACCUCACCCGGCAGGCCAUCUUCGCCGGUGGCUUUGUUGUUCUUCAGCCCCCCAAUCUCCCGCUGGAUUUUUUGGUGGUCGGGGGCUGAUACUCGGUCAUCUACUGCUGGCACUACCAGGUCCGUUCCAGUUCCGUUUCUGUUUGUUGCAUCGCCAUGCAGAUGUUCAUCGAAGUGCUGCUUCCACCUGUCGACCACCUCGCUAUCGUUUAUAAUGAGAUUACUUUCCACAUCUUUGCAAUCGGCAUGGACCUAGGCGGUUGGAAAAGGACAACGAUUAUUGGAAAUUCGGUACAUCGAAUCUGAGAACUCUACUCAAAACCGGCACGCGCAGGUAUCCUGGCUAGAGAGCUGCGGCAGGUGAAUGUUGAUCAUACUGACGCGAGG